RNAcentral lists this ribosomal RNA (468 nucleotides) under uncultured bacterium. Its description in RNAcentral is "partial 16S ribosomal RNA". It matches the Rfam family "Bacterial small subunit ribosomal RNA", at positions 28 to 507 of the family's 1533-position model. The record is from RNAcentral.
GACGAACGCUGGCGGCGUGCUUAACACAUGCAAGUCGAACGGUAAGGCCCUGCUUUUGUGGGGUGCUCGAGUCGCAAACGGGAGUGUAACACGUGUGUAACCUGCUCUUCACUUUGGUAUAACUUCAAGAAACUGGCUCAUAUUCCGGAUUCGCGCACCCUCUGCAUGGUGGGGGUUGGAAGGUUUCGGCGGUUGGGGAUGGACUCGCGGCCUUUCAGCGUGUUGGUUGGGUAGUGGCUUACCAAGGCUUUGACGGGUAGCCGGCCUGAGAGGGUGACCGGCAACAUUGGGACUGAGAUACGGCGCAGACUCCUACGGGAGGCAGCAGUGAGGAAUAUUGCACAAGGGGCGGAAGCGUGAUGCAGCAACGCCGCGUGCGGGAGGACGGCCUUCGGGUUGUAAACCGCUUUCGCCUGUGACGAAGCGUGAGUGACGGUAAUGGGUAAAGAAGCACCGGCUAACUACGUG